GCCAGUCUGGUGUAGUGGUUUAAGUUUUGGACUAUGACUCUGGAGACCAGGGUUUGAAUCCCUGCUCAGCCA
Phrynosoma platyrhinos (Desert horned lizard) is the source of this 72-nucleotide non-coding RNA. The record is from the annotation of a GenBank genome assembly. NCBI's taxonomy places the organism in Eukaryota, Metazoa, Chordata, Lepidosauria, Squamata, Phrynosomatidae.